GUGAGGAAUAUUGGACAAUGGGCGCAAGCCUGAUCCAGCCAUGCCGCGUGCAGGAAGACGCAUCUAUGGUGUGUAAACUGCUUUUGUACGGGAAGAAACACUCCCUCGUGAGGGAGCUUGACGGUACCGUAAGAAUAAGGAUCGGCUAACUCCGUGCCAGCAGCCGCGAUAAUACGGAGGAUCCAAGCGUUAUCCGGAACCAUUGGGUUUAAAGGGUCCGUAGGCGGUUUAAUAAGUCAGUGGUGAAAGCCCAUCGCUCAACGAUGGAACGGCCAUUGAUACUGUUAGACUUGAAUUACAAGGAAGUAACUAGAAUAUGUAGUGUAGCGGUGAAAUGCUUAGAUAUUACAUGGAAUACCAAUUGCGAAGGCAGGUUACUACUUGUGGAUUGACGCUGAUGGACGAAAGCGUGGGGAGCGAACAGGAUUAGAAACCCCGGUAGUCC
Molecule: ribosomal RNA, 445 nt
Filed under: uncultured bacterium
Lineage: Bacteria
Description: partial 16S ribosomal RNA
Rfam family: Bacterial small subunit ribosomal RNA
Source: RNAcentral